ACAAAUAUAUCAUGUGAUUGCUAACCCUUUUUUGUGCAGUGACAAACAGGGAGUCUUUAAAUAGUCACCAAUAGUAUGAAUUCAAGACACUAAAUUUAAGGUAUAGCAACAUAUUUGUUACCAACUUUUUCUUUACCUUUUUAGACUGUGAAUUUACCUUUUGUGUCUAUCUAUUUUUUGCUAACCCUAAAACUGUGAAGCUAGAUAGGUUGAAACAAAAGGGUAAGUGAGGAAAGUUUAAUCAACUUUGUGGUUUAUUGAUGAGUUUUUUUUUUAAUCUCAAUUUUGAAUCCCAGUUUUUUUUUUUUUGAUAAUUUGAAUCCCAGUUAAUGCCUUAGACUCAAUGAAAUGUGUGGCUGCUGUAAAAAGGAAAGGAGAAGUGCAAGAAGACGAUAUUUACAUUAAGUUUCUCACUUCCUUUUCAUUGACGAAGAAAGAGGUAGUACAUUAAGCUAUCUUCCAUAAAUUAAUUUAUUAUUGCCAUCUAUCUUUUAUAUUUGUUCAUCAUCCUAAAAACUACAGACUUAUAUGAAGAGUAUAUAAAGAACAAAAUAACAGUACAGGGGAUGUCAUCUUAUUAUAUUAAGCAACCACUUUAUAUAUCAAUGCAUACAAAAUAAAAUCAAUUAGCCGUUUGACUAUAAAUUUACUUGAACAUGUACUUAUGAUUGUAUUUUAUGCUAUUAGGUGAGUGAAGAUCCAUUCAUCUUGCUUCUUGCAAAGGUAGUAGAAAUUUUAUGUAUUUUGAUUGUCUUAAUUUAAUUUUGUUCCCGGUUGAUUUGGAAGAAGCAGAACAGUGGAUAGUAUAAUGGGUUGUUAGCUUUUUCAUGUAUAAGACUUGGUUUUGGAGUUUUUCAUUAGUUUGGUUUUGGAGUUUUAUAGUUUGAUUUUGGAAAAUUGGAUAGAAGCAAUGCUUGGGCAGUUGGUAAUCCUAUAGAUUUGAUGCUUUUAAGCAGUUUUGGUUCA
This 966-nucleotide long non-coding RNA is filed under the name Trifolium pratense (red clover). Its description in RNAcentral is "long non-coding RNA (TPRA_LNC002780)". Lineage: Eukaryota; Viridiplantae; Streptophyta; Magnoliopsida; Fabales; Fabaceae. The record is from RNAcentral.